Molecule: long non-coding RNA, 374 nt
Organism: Gallus gallus (chicken)
Lineage: Eukaryota; Metazoa; Chordata; Aves; Galliformes; Phasianidae
Source: Ensembl
CUCUAUCAGGAUCCACAUUCACUGUUGCUCAGUACCUCUGCUCACAGCUCCCUUCUUUUUUUGUUUUGCUGCAGCCCCAACAGUUUGGUCACACUGGUGGCUCCUCUGCAGGGAAAAGGAAUCUUACUGUUUGCUGCAGUUGUCCCCCUUUGCCCCCGUCUUAAAGGAGGGAUUUGUUUGCUCCCUUUGGAGAUCUGACAUCCCAGCCUGUUCAGUGAACCCACCCAGCUGAGGUUGGAUCAGCCUGAGAAUUUCUUCAGGAACAGCCAGAACUUGCUGUCAAACCAUAUCUAACUCUGUCAAGACUUCCACUCAGCGUCUGGGGCAGAGGGGGAGCCUCGUCCAGAAGACGCGGAUCGAGGCCGAGGACGGGC